AUGUUUCCUCAUUACAUUCCCCAAAGUGGGAGGUUGUUUUCCUCUCAUGUAGCAUUUUUCCAGUGUGUGAAAAUCUCUGGCCUCAAAGCACACUUGUGGGAACCCAUAAUUGAGUCUGAAAUCAUCCAACAGCAGCAGAAAGUUCUUACAGCCCUGAGAGCCUCAGGGAACCAGGACGCUUACAGAACCUUGCUGAAAAACACGGGAUCUACAGCUAAAGCCAGAAAAUCCCCAGAGACCAUCUGGACCAACCCCUCCUCUCACAGCUUCCUAUGGGACCAUGGACUCUUGCAUAAGUCCAAACACACCAGCAGCUCAUCUAAAACCUGGGAAUUACUGGUCUUCCACCAUUGACAAGGCUGCAGCUCUUCAGAAUGACUGCUUCCAGUGGUCAGAUCUCAACUCCUUGACAGGUAUCAGCCCUUCUGGAAAUACUAUAUCAAAGUCUGUAGAACUGCACAGUAAAUCGAAUGCAUUGUAAAUCCCACACAUAGUCUCUGUUUUACUAAAAAUGAAUAAUAUAUUUGUACUUAUUUGUUAAUAAAUAACAUUUGAUCUUAAAAUCAAAAAGACAUGGAACCUAAGCUAUUGUAUCUCUCUCACUACACUUGUAAUUUCAUACAAAUGAUUUAAGAAUCCAGAUAGACCAGCCUGACCAACAUGGAGAAACCCUGUCUCUACUAAAAAUACAAAAUUAGCCAGGUGUGGUGGCACAUGCCUGUAAUCCCAGUUGCUCAGGAGGCUUAGUCAGGAGAAUUGCUUGAACCCAGCAGGCGGAAGUUGCGGCGGUGAGCUGGAGAUCGCGCCACUGCACUCCAGCCUGGGCAACAAGAGUGAAACUCCGUCUCAAAAAAAAAAAAAAAAGAAAUCCAGAUAAUAUAAUCUACAAAAGAAGAAAAUGUUAAUACACAUUAAGCAACUACUGACAAAAGUAUUACUUUAGUAUAUGUCAAUCUGAAAAUUAAAUAUACCAAUAAGGUCAGUUGUCUGAAAGGAAAUUAGGUUGAGCAAGAGCUACAUAUAAGAGGAAAAAGGCCCUACUGUGAAAUGGCCACAGUGAGGAAGAAAUCCUAGGGUCAUCACAGGAUAACAAGGCAAUGGGGCACCAUGACAAGGUCCAAUAUAUGCAGCAGACGGAUCUCUUUCUCUCUCCCUCUCUCUCUCUCUUUUUCCCCCUCUCCCCUCCUCCACUCUCAGUUAUGGAAAAGUGUAAAUAUUUCCCUCUCCUAAAUCCAAGAGAAUAGAAGAUGAGAUAGAGAUAAAGCCAGUAAGCCAAAAAAUACAUAGUGUGAUAAAAGAAAUAAGAAAUAUCAAGUAAAAAAAGUCCUUCUAUCCUGAGACUUUGUUGAAGUUGCUUAUCAGCUUAAGGAGAUUUGGGGCUGAGGCGAUGGGGUUUUCUAAAUAUACAAUCAUGUCACCUGCAAACUGAGUUCCUCUUUUCCUAAUUGAAUACCCUUUAUUUCUUUGUCCUGCCUGAUUGCCCUGGCCAGAACUUCCAACACUAUGUUGAAGAGGAGCGGUGAGAGAGGGCAUCCCUGUCUUGUGCCAGUUUUCGAAGGGAAUGCUUCCAGUUUUUGCCCAUUCAGUAUGAUAGUGGCUAUGGGUUUGUCAUAAAUAGCUCUUAUUAUUUUGAGAUACACCCCAUCAAUACCUAAUUUAUGAAGAGUUUUUAGCAUGAAAGGCUGUUAAAUUUUGUCAAAGGCCUUUUCUGCAUCUAUUGAGAUAAUCAUGUGGUUUUUGUCUUUGGUUCUGUUUAUAUGCUGGAUUAUGUUUAUUGAUUUGCAUAUGUUGAACCAGCCUUGCAUCCCAGGGAUGAAGCCCACUUGAUCAUGGUGGAUAAGCUUUUUGAUGUGCGGCUGGAUUCGGUUUGCCAGUAUUUUAUUGAGGAUUUUUACAUCGAUGUUCAUCAGGGAUAUUGGUCUAAAAUUCUCUUUUUUUGUUGUGUCUCUGCCAGGCUUUGGUAUCAGGAUGAUGCUGGCCUCAUAAAAUGAGUUAGGGAGGAUUCCCUCUUUUUCUAUUGAUUGGAAUAGUUUCAGAAGGAAUGGUACCAACUCCUCCUUGUACCUCCGAUAGAAUUCGGCUGUGAAUCCGUCUGGUCCUGGACUUUUUUUGGUUGGUAGGCUAUUAAUUAUUGCCUCAAUUUCAAAGCCUAUUAUUGGUCUAUUCAGGUAUUCAACUUUUUCCUGGUUUAGUCUUGGGAGGGUGUAUGUGUCCAGGAAUUUAUCCAUUUCUUCUAGAUGUUCUAGUUUAUUUGCAUAGAGGUGUUUAUAGUAUUCUCUGAUGGUAGUUUGUAUUUCUGUGGGAUCGGUGGUGAUAUCCCCUUUAUCAUUUUUUAUUGCAUCUAUUUGAUUCUUCUCCCUUUUCGUCUUUAUUAGUCUUGCUAGUGGUCUAUCAAUUUUGUUGAUCUUUUCAAAAAAAACCAGUUCCAGGAUUCAUUGAUUUUUUGAAGGGUUUUUUGUGUCUCUAUCUCCUUCAGUUCUGCUCUGACUUUAGUUAUUUCUUGCCUUCUGCUAGCUUUCGAAAUCACAAGCAUUCUUAUACACCAGUAACAGACAGAGAGCCAAAUCAUGAGUGAACUCCCAUUCACAAUUGCUUCAAAGAGAAUAAAAUACCUAGGAAUCCAACUUACAAGGGAUGUAAAGGACCUCUUCAAGGAGGAAGACAAACCACUGCUCAAUGAAAUAAAAGAGGAUACAAACAAAUGGAAAAACAUUCCAUGCUCAUGGAUAGGAAGAAUCAAUAUUGUGAAAAUGGCCAUACUGCCCAAGGUAAUUUAUAGAUUCAUUGCCAUCCGCAUCAAGCUACCAAUGACUUUCUUCACAGAAUUGGAAAAACUACUUUUAAAUUCAUAUGGAACCAAAAAAGAGCCCGCAUUGCCAAGACAAUACUAAGCCAAAAGAACAAAGCUGGAGUCAUCAUGCUACCUGACUUCAAACUAUACUACAAGGCUACAGUAACCAAAACAGCAUGGUACUGGUACCAAAACAGAGACAUAGACCAAUGGAACAGAACAGAGCCCUUAGAAAUAAUACCACACAUCUACAGCUGUCUGAUCUUUGGCAAACCUGACAAAAACAAGAAAUGAGGAAAGGAUUCCCUAUUUAAUAAAUGGUGCUGGGAAAACUUGCUAGCCAUAUGUAGAAAGCUGAAAUUGGAUCCUUUCCUUACACCAUAUACAAAAAUUAAUUCAAGAUGGAUUAGAGACUUAAAUGUUAGACCUAAAACCAUAAAAACUCUAGAAAACCUAGGCA
This is a long non-coding RNA of Macaca mulatta (Rhesus monkey), 3251 nucleotides long. NCBI's taxonomy places the organism in Eukaryota, Metazoa, Chordata, Mammalia, Primates, Cercopithecidae. The record is from Ensembl.